CCGCACGCGCGCUACACUGAUGCGUUCAACGAGUAUACAACCUUGAUCGAUAGGUCUGGGUAAUCUUGUGAAUGCGCAUCGUGCUAGGGAUAGACUGUUGCAAUUUUCAGUCUUGAACGAGGAAUUCCUAGUAAACGCAAGUCAUCAACUUGCAUUGAUUACGU
RNAcentral lists this ribosomal RNA (164 nucleotides) under uncultured eukaryote. Its description in RNAcentral is "partial 18S rRNA". It matches the Rfam family "Eukaryotic small subunit ribosomal RNA", at positions 1487 to 1650 of the family's 1831-position model. The record is from RNAcentral.